This 253-nucleotide ribosomal RNA is filed under the name uncultured bacterium. RNAcentral describes it as "partial 16S ribosomal RNA". It matches the Rfam family "Bacterial small subunit ribosomal RNA", at positions 524 to 776 of the family's 1533-position model. The record is from RNAcentral.
UACGGAGGGUGCAAGCGUUGUCCGGAUUUAUUGGGCUUAAAGGGUGCGUAGGCGGCUUUUUAAGUCAGCGGUGAAAGACAACAGCUCAACUGUUGCAGUGCCAUUGAUACUGAAGAGCUUGAGUACAGAUGAGGUAGGCGGAAUUUAUGGUGUAGCGGUGAAAUGCGUAGAUACCAUAAAGAACACCUAUUGCGAAGGCAGCUUACUAGGCUGUAACUGACGCUGAGGCACGAAAGUGUGGGGAGCAAACAGG